AUUGAACGCUGGCGGCAGGCCUAACACAUGCAAGUCGAGCGGCAGCGGAAAGUAGCUUGCUACUUUGCCGGCGAGCGGCGGACGGGUGAGUAAUGUCUGGGAAACUGCCUGAUGGAGGGGGAUAACUACUGGAAACGGUAGCUAAUACCGCAUAACGUCGCAAGACCAAAGAGGGGGACCUUCGGGCCUCUUGCCAUCAGAUGUGCCCAGAUGGGAUUAGGUAGUAGGUGGGGUAAUGGCUCACCUAGGCGACGAUCCCUAGCUGGUCUGCGAGGAUGACCAGCCACACUGGAACUGAGACACGGUCCAGACUCCUACGGGAGGCAGCAGUGGGGAAUAUUGCACAAUGGGCGCAAGCCUGAUGCAGCCAUGCCGCGUGUAUGAAGAAGGCCUUCGGGUUGUAAAGUACUUUCAGCGGGGAGGAAGGUGUUGAGGUUAAUAAUCUCAGCAAUUGACGUUACCCGCAGAAGAAGCACCGGCUAACUCCGUGCCAGCCGCCGCGGUAA
This 506-nucleotide ribosomal RNA is filed under the name uncultured bacterium. RNAcentral describes it as "partial 16S ribosomal RNA". It matches the Rfam family "Bacterial small subunit ribosomal RNA", at positions 30 to 523 of the family's 1533-position model. The record is from RNAcentral.